RNAcentral lists this small RNA (102 nucleotides) under Goniomonas pacifica. RNAcentral describes it as "partial Cyanobacteria transfer-messenger RNA". Lineage: Eukaryota; Cryptophyceae; Goniomonadida; Goniomonadaceae. The record is from RNAcentral.
AAUUGUUUCAACGCAACCUCAGGAUGAAGUCGUUGAAAUGUGCUCGGAAUGACGAAGCCACUGAUGGCAAAAAAAAUGGUCACUCCCGUGCGCCCGACCGCG